AUUGAACGCUGGCGGCAUGCUUUACACAUGCAAGUCGAACGGCAGCGGAGAGUGCUUGCACUCUGCCGGCGAGUGGCGAACGGGUGAGUAACAUAUUGGAACGUACCGAGUAAAGGGGGAUAACUAUCCGAAAGGAUAGCUAAUACCGCAUACGCUUUGAGAAGGAAAGUGGGGGAUCUUCGGACCUCACGUUAUUCGAGCGGCCAAUAUCUGAUUAGCUAGUUGGUGGGGUAAAGGCCUACCAAGGCGACGAUCAGUAGCGGGUCUGAGAGGACGAUCCGCCACACUGGGACUGAGACACGGCCCAGACUCCUACGGGAGGCAGCAGUGGGGAAUUUUGGACAAUGGGCGCAAGCCUGAUCCAGCCAUGCCGCGUGUCUGAAGAAGGCCUUCGGGUUGUAAAGGACUUUUGUUAGGGAAGAAAAGAAAUGGGUUAAUACCCCAUUUUGCUGACGGUACCUAAAGAAUAAGAACCGGCUAACUACGUG
Molecule: ribosomal RNA, 488 nt
Filed under: uncultured bacterium
Lineage: Bacteria
Description: partial 16S ribosomal RNA
Rfam family: Bacterial small subunit ribosomal RNA
Source: RNAcentral